Pseudovirgaria hyperparasitica is the source of this 83-nucleotide non-coding RNA. Lineage: Eukaryota; Fungi; Ascomycota; Dothideomycetes; Acrospermales; Acrospermaceae. The record is from the annotation of a RefSeq genome assembly.
GGGCUAAUAGUAUAGAGGUAUUAUGCUCGCUUCGCAUCUCUGUGAAUUGUGAGAGGUCCUGGGUUCAAUUCCCAGUUAGUCCA